This 497-nucleotide ribosomal RNA is filed under the name uncultured bacterium. RNAcentral's name for it is "partial 16S ribosomal RNA". It matches the Rfam family "Bacterial small subunit ribosomal RNA", at positions 28 to 507 of the family's 1533-position model. The record is from RNAcentral.
GAUGAACGCUGGCGGCGUGCCUAAUACAUGCAAGUCGAGCGAACGGACGAGAAGCUUGCUUUUCUGAUGUUAGCGGCGGACGGGUGAGUAACACGUGGAUAACCUACCUAUAAGACUGGGAUAACUUCGGGAAACCGGAGCUAAUACCGGAUAAUAUUUUGAACCGCAUGGUUCAAAAGUGAAAGACGGUCUUGCUGUCACUUAUAGAUGGAUCCGCGCUGCAUUAGCUAGUUGGUAAGGUAACGGCUUACCAAGGCAACGAUGCAUAGCCGACCUGGGAGGGUGAUCGGCCACGCUGGGACUGAGACACCGGCCAGGCUCCGACGGGAGGCAGCAGUAGGGAAUCUUCCGCAAUGGGCGAAAGCCUGACGGAGCAACGCCGCGUGAGUGAUGAAGGUCUUCGGAUCGUAAAACUCUGUUAUUAGGGAAGAACAUAUGUGUAAGUAACUGUGCACAUCUUGACGGUACCUAAUCAGAAAGCCACGGCUAACUACGUG